Molecule: unclassified non-coding RNA, 369 nt
Filed under: soil metagenome
Description: partial contains 5.8S ribosomal RNA, internal transcribed spacer 2, and large subunit ribosomal RNA
Rfam family: 5.8S ribosomal RNA (bases 1-120)
Source: RNAcentral
GAUGAGGAACGUAGCGAAAUGCGAUAAGUAAUAUGAAUUGCAGAUUUUCGUGAAUCAUCGAAUCUUUGAACGCACAUUGCGCCCUUUGGUAUUCCAAAGGGCAUGCCUGUUUGAGCGUCAUUUCUCUCUCAAAUCUUCGGAUUUGGUUUUGAGUGAUACUCUUAGUCAGACUAGGCGUUUGCUUGAAAUGUAUUGGCAUGAGUGGUACUAGAUAGUGCUAAACUGUUUCAAUGUAUUAGGUUUAUCCAACUCGUUGACCAGUGAAGUAUUUGUUUAUUACACAGGCUCGGCCUUACAACAACAAACAAAGUUUGACCUCAAAUCAGGUAGGACUACCCGCUGAACUUAAGCAUAUCAAUAAGCGGAGGA